UACAGAGGCCUCGAGCGUUAGGCGGAAUCACUGGGCUUAAAGCGUGUGUAGGUGGAUGCCUAAGUACCUUGUGAAAUCCCACGGCUUAACCGUGGAACUGCUGGGUAUACUGGGCGUCUUGAGCCACUCAGGGGCUACCGGAACAAGCGGUGGAGCGGUGAAAUGCGUAGAUAUCGCUUGGAACGCCAAUGGUGAAAACAGGUAGCUGGGGGUGUGCUGGACGCUGAGACACGAAAGCCAGGGGAGCAAACGGG
This 254-nucleotide ribosomal RNA is filed under the name uncultured bacterium. Its description in RNAcentral is "partial 16S ribosomal RNA". It matches the Rfam family "Bacterial small subunit ribosomal RNA", at positions 524 to 776 of the family's 1533-position model. The record is from RNAcentral.